GAUGAAGAACGCAGUGAAAUGCGAUAAGUAAUGUGAAUUGCAGAAUUCAGUGAAUCAUCGAAUCUUUGAACGCACCUUGCACCCUUUGGCAUUCCGAAGGGUAUGCUCGUUUGAGUGUCAUUGUACUCUCACUCUCCCGAUCUUUGGAUCGGGAGUGGUGGACUUGGGUGUUGCUGCUUUACCGUGGCUCACCUCAAAUCGAUUCGUGCACCUCUUGGUUGGACAUAGUACGGCGUGAUAAGUGUCUUCGCCGGCACCUCAGUAGAGGGUGGCUGAUCAGGAGCUCUGUGCUUCAAACCGUCCUCGGACAACAACUGACAACUUGACCUCAAAUCGAGUAGGACUACCCGCUGAACUUAAGCAUAUCAAUAAGCGGAGGA
This 380-nucleotide unclassified non-coding RNA is filed under the name soil metagenome. RNAcentral's name for it is "partial contains 5.8S ribosomal RNA, internal transcribed spacer 2, and large subunit ribosomal RNA". The stretch from base 1 to 120 matches the Rfam family "5.8S ribosomal RNA", at positions 35 to 154 of the family's 154-position model. The record is from RNAcentral.